GACGAACGCUGGCGGCGUGCCUAAUACAUGCAAGUCGAACGAACUCUGGUAUUGAUUGGUGCUUGCAUCAUGAUUUACAUUUGAGUGAGUGGCGAACUGGUGAGUAACACGUGGGAAACCUGCCCAGAAGCGGGGGAUAACACCUGGAAACAGAUGCUAAUACCGCAUAACAACUUGGACCGCAUGGUCCGAGUUUGAAAGAUGGCUUCGGCUAUCACUUUUGGAUGGUCCCGCGGCGUAUUAGCUAGAUGGUGAGGUAACGGCUCACCAUGGCAAUGAUACGUAGCCGACCUGAGAGGGUAAUCGGCCACAUUGGGACUGAGACACGGCCCAAACUCCUACGGGAGGCAGCAGUAGGGAAUCUUCCACAAUGGACGGAAGUCUGAUGGAGCAACGCCGCGUGAGUGAAGAAGGGUUUCGGCUCGUAAAACUCUGUUGUUAAAGAAGAACAUAUCUGAGAGUAACUGUUCAGGUAUUGACGGUAUUUAACCAGAAAGCCACGGCUAACUACGUGCCAGCAGCCGCGGUAAUACGUAGGUGGCAAGCGUUGUCCGGAUUUAUUGGGCGUAAAGCGAGCGCAGGCGGUUUUUUAAGUCUGAUGUGAAAGCCUUCGGCUCAACCGAAGAAGUGCAUCGGAAACUGGGAAACUUGAGUGCAGAAGAGGACAGUGGAACUCCAUGUGUAGCGGUGAAAUGCGUAGAUAUAUGGAAGAACACCAGUGGCGAAGGCGGCUGUCUGGUCUGUAACUGACGCUGAGGCUCGAAAGUAUGGGUAGCGAACAGGAUUAGAUACCCUGGUAGUCCAUACCGUAAACGAUGAAUGCUAAGUGUUGGAGGGUUUCCGCCCUUCAGUGCUGCAGCUAACGCAUUAAGCAUUCCGCCUGGGGAGUACGGCCGCAAGGCUGAAACUCAAAGGAAUUGACGGGGGCCCGCACAAGCGGUGGAGCAUGUGGUUUAAUUCGAAGCUACGCGAAGAACCUUACCAGGUCUUGACAUACUAUGCAAAUCUAAGAGAUUAGACGUUCCCUUCGGGGACAUGGAUACAGGUGGUGCAUGGUUGUCGUCAGCUCGUGUCGUGAGAUGUUGGGUUAAGUCCCGCAACGAGCGCAACCCUUAUUAUCAGUUGCCAGCAUUAAGUUGGGCACUCUGGUGAGACUGCCGGUGACAAACCGGAGGAAGGUGGGGAUGACGUCAAAUCAUCAUGCCCCUUAUGACCUGGGCUACACACGUGCUACAAUGGAUGGUACAACGAGUUGCGAACUCGCGAGAGUAAGCUAAUCUCUUAAAGCCAUUCUCAGUUCGGAUUGUAGGCUGCAACUCGCCUACAUGAAGUCGGAAUCGCUAGUAAUCGCGGAUCAGCAUGCCGCGGUGAAUACGUUCCCGGGCCUUGUACACACCGCCCGUCACACCAUGAGAGUUUGUAACACCCAAAGUCGGUGGGGUAACCUUUUAGGAACCAGCCGCCUAAGGUGGGACAGAUGAUUAGGGUGAAG
This 1492-nucleotide ribosomal RNA is filed under the name Lactiplantibacillus pentosus. RNAcentral's name for it is "bacterial SSU rRNA". It matches the Rfam family "Bacterial small subunit ribosomal RNA". The record is from RNAcentral. Lineage: Bacteria; Bacillati; Bacillota; Bacilli; Lactobacillales; Lactobacillaceae.